AGCAGUCGCCGCGGUAAUACGGAGGGUGCAAGCGUUAAUCGGAAUUACUGGGCGUAAAGCGCACGCAGGCGGUCUGUCAAGUCAGAUGUGAAAUCCCCGGGCUUAACCUGGGAACUGCAUUUGAAACUGGCAGGCUAGAGUCUUGUAGAGGGGGGUAGAAUUCCAGGUGUAGCGGUGAAAUGCGUAGAGAUCUGGAGGAAUACCGGUGGCGAAGGCGGCCCCCUGGACAAAGACUGACGCUCAGGUGCGAAAGCGUGGGGAGCAAACAGGAUUAGAUACCCGUGUAGUCCCUGUCUCUUAUAC
RNAcentral lists this ribosomal RNA (303 nucleotides) under uncultured bacterium. RNAcentral describes it as "partial 16S ribosomal RNA". It matches the Rfam family "Bacterial small subunit ribosomal RNA", at positions 507 to 807 of the family's 1533-position model. The record is from RNAcentral.